RNAcentral lists this ribosomal RNA (601 nucleotides) under uncultured Ascomycota. RNAcentral describes it as "LSU rRNA". It matches the Rfam family "Eukaryotic large subunit ribosomal RNA", at positions 631 to 1236 of the family's 3401-position model. Lineage: Eukaryota; Fungi; Ascomycota. The record is from RNAcentral.
GUAAUGGUUGUAAGCGGCCCGUCUUGAAACACGGACCAAGGAGUCUAACAUCUGUGCGAGUGUUUGGGUGUCAAACCCGUACGCGUAAUGAAAGUGAACGGAGGCGGGAACCCCUCGGGGUGCACCGUCGACCGAUCCUGAUGUCUUCGGAUGGAUUUGAGUAAGAGCAUAGCUGUUGGGACCCGAAAGAUGGUGAACUAUGCCUGAAUAGGGUGAAGCCAGGGGAAACUCUGGUGGAGGCUCGCAGCGGUUCUGACGUGCAAAUCGAUCGUCAAAUUUGGGCAUAGGGGCGAAAGACUAAUCGAACUAUCUAGUAGCUGGUUCCUGCCGAAGUUUCCCUCAGGAUAGCAGUAACGUUUUCAGUUUUAUGAGGUAAAGCGAAUGAUUAGAGGCCUGGGGGUUGAAACAACCUUCACCUAUUCUCAAACUUUAAAUAUGUAAGAAGUCCUUGUUGCUUAGUUGAACGUGGACAUUUGAAUGUAUCGUUACUAGUGGGCCAUUUUUGGUAAGCAGAACUGGCGAUGCGGGAUGAACCGAACGCGGAGUUAAGGUGCCGGAAUGCACGCUCAUCGGACACCACAAAAGGUGUUAGUUCAUCUAG